RNAcentral lists this ribosomal RNA (253 nucleotides) under uncultured bacterium. RNAcentral's name for it is "partial 16S ribosomal RNA". It matches the Rfam family "Bacterial small subunit ribosomal RNA", at positions 524 to 776 of the family's 1533-position model. The record is from RNAcentral.
UACGUAGGGGGCAAGCGUUGUCCGGAAUCAUUGGGCGUAAAGAGCGUGUAGGCGGCCCGAUAAGUCCGCCGUGAAAGUCCAGGGCUCAACCCUGGAAUGCCGGUGGAAACUGUCGGGCUGGAGUCCGGAAGAGGCGAGUGGAAUUCCUGGUGUAGUGGUGGAAUGCGUAGAUAUCGGGAGGAACACCAGUGGCGAAGGCGGUUGCCUGGGGCUUUGCUGACGCUGAUGCGCGAAAGCGUGGGGAGCGAUCCGG